This 253-nucleotide ribosomal RNA is filed under the name uncultured bacterium. RNAcentral describes it as "partial 16S ribosomal RNA". It matches the Rfam family "Bacterial small subunit ribosomal RNA", at positions 524 to 776 of the family's 1533-position model. The record is from RNAcentral.
CACGUAGGGGGCUAGCGUUGUCCGGAUUUAUUGGGCGUAAAGAGCGUGUAGGCGGCCAGGUAGGUCUGCUGUGAAAACUCGAGGCUCAACCUCGAGACGUCGGCGGAAACCAUCUGGCUAGAGUCCGGAAGAGGAGAGUGGAACUCCUGGUGUAGCGGUGAAAUGCGCAGAUAUCAGGAAGAACACCCGUGGCGAAGGCGGCUCUCUGGGACGGUACUGACGCUGAGACGCGAAAGCGUGGGGAGCGAACAGG